Molecule: long non-coding RNA, 233 nt
Filed under: Capsicum annuum
Lineage: Eukaryota; Viridiplantae; Streptophyta; Magnoliopsida; Solanales; Solanaceae
Description: long non-coding RNA (CANN_LNC014239)
Source: RNAcentral
ACACCUAUUCUAAAAUAUCAAGACACUAUCUCCCCCUUAGAAGAAAACCUCUACCUUUUAGUCCUUAACUGAUUCUUUCAGUUCGACCAAACGAAAAUCCAUAUCCUGCUUCUACUUUACUUCCGAAACUAGGGAAGAUUCGGAACUACUCUAAACCCAAACACUAACCUCAGCUGAAUCAAUCAAUCUAACACCCAACCUAGCCAAAUGAUGUACUUCGCAGACCAACUCCC